AGUGAACGCUGGCGGUAGGCCUAACACAUGCAAGUCGAACGGCAGCACAGUAAGAGCUUGCUCUUACGGGUGGCGAGUGGCGGACGGGUGAGGAAUACAUCGGAAUCUACUUUUUCGUGGGGGAUAACGUAGGGAAACUUACGCUAAUACCGCAUACGACCUACGGGUGAAAGCAGGGGAUCUUCGGACCUUGCGCGAUUGAGUGAGCCGAUGUCGGAUUAGCUAGUUGGCGGGGUAAAGGCCCACCAAGGCGACGAUCCGUAGCUGGUCUGAGAGGAUGACCAGCCACACUGGAACUGAGACACGGUCCAGACUCCUACGGGAGGCAGCAGUGGGGAAUAUUGGACAAUGGGCGCAAGCCUGAUCCAGCCAUACCGCGUGGGUGAAGAAGGCCUUCGGGUUGUAAAGCCCUUUUGUUGGGAAAGAAAAGCAGCAGGUUAAUACCCCGCUGUUCUGACGGUACCCAAAGAAUAAGCACCGGCUAACUUCGUG
RNAcentral lists this ribosomal RNA (492 nucleotides) under uncultured bacterium. RNAcentral describes it as "partial 16S ribosomal RNA". It matches the Rfam family "Bacterial small subunit ribosomal RNA", at positions 29 to 507 of the family's 1533-position model. The record is from RNAcentral.